AUUGAACGCUGGCGGCAUGCUUUACACAUGCAAGUCGAGCGGCAGCGCGGGGGCAACCCUGGCGGCGAGCGGCGGACGGGUGAGUAAUGCAUCGGAACGUAUCCCGUAGUGGGGGACAACCCAGCGAAAGCUGGGCUAAUACCGCAUAUGCUCUACGGAGGAAAGUGGGGGACCAGCAAUGGCCUCACGCUAUGGGAGCGGCCGAUGUCCGAUUAGCUAGUUGGUGGGGUAAAGGCUUACCAAGGCGACGAUCGGUAGCUGGUCUGAGAGGAUGAUCAGCCACACUGGGACUGAGACACGGCCCAGACUCCUACGGGAGGCAGCAGUGGGGAAUUUUGGACAAUGGGGGCAACCCUGAUCCAGCCAUGCCGCGUGCGGGAAGAAGGCCUUCGGGUUGUAAACCGCUUUUGGUCGGGAAGAAAGGGCUCUCUCUAAUACGGGGGGCUGUGACGGUACCGG
This 459-nucleotide ribosomal RNA is filed under the name uncultured beta proteobacterium. RNAcentral describes it as "bacterial SSU rRNA". It matches the Rfam family "Bacterial small subunit ribosomal RNA", at positions 28 to 481 of the family's 1533-position model. Lineage: Bacteria; Pseudomonadati; Pseudomonadota; Betaproteobacteria. The record is from RNAcentral.